This 72-nucleotide transfer RNA is filed under the name Ovis aries (sheep). It matches the Rfam family "tRNA". Rfam says of the family: Transfer RNA (tRNA) molecules are approximately 80 nucleotides in length. The record is from Rfam by way of RNAcentral. Lineage: Eukaryota; Metazoa; Chordata; Mammalia; Artiodactyla; Bovidae.
UUCCUAGUGGUCCAGUGGUUAAGACUCUGUGCUUCUAGUACAGGGGUUCUGGUUCAAUCCCUGGUCAGGGAA